This 405-nucleotide ribosomal RNA is filed under the name uncultured bacterium. Its description in RNAcentral is "partial 16S ribosomal RNA". It matches the Rfam family "Bacterial small subunit ribosomal RNA", at positions 30 to 526 of the family's 1533-position model. The record is from RNAcentral.
AUUGAACGCUGGCGGCAGGCUUAACACAUGCAAGUCGAACGAUUGGCGGACGGGUGAGUAAUGCUUGGGAAUCUAGCUUAUGGAGGGGGAUAACUACGGGAACCUGUAGCUAAUACCGCGUACCAUAGGAUGAGCCCAAGUGGGUUUAGGUAGUUGGUGAGGUAAAGGCUCACCAAGCCGACGAUCUCUAGCUGGUCUGAGAGGAUGACCAGCAAAACUGGGACGGAGACACGGCCCAGACUCGUACGGGAGGAAGCAGUGGGGAAUAUUGCGAAAUGGGGGAAACCUGACGCAGCCAGGCCGCGUGAAUGAAGAAGGCCUUCGGGUGGUAAAGUUCUUUCGGUAGCGAGGCGUUAACUACAGAAGAAGCACCGGCUAACUCCGUGCCAGCAGCCGCGGUAAUUC